Molecule: unclassified non-coding RNA, 369 nt
Filed under: Hevea brasiliensis (rubber tree)
Lineage: Eukaryota; Viridiplantae; Streptophyta; Magnoliopsida; Malpighiales; Euphorbiaceae
Source: RNAcentral
GGAAAGUCCAUAGUUACAAUAAAAAUUCUCAUAUAACAUUCACCUAUGACAGCUUUGAUGGAGAGGAAGGUUUUCCGGGUGAUCUUUCUGUAUCGGUAACAUAUAUGCUAAUUGGAACGAACAGGUUGGCCGUGAAAAUGUUCGCGCAGCCCCUCAACAAGGCUACUCCAGUGAACCUAGCCUUGCACACUUAUUGGAACCUUGGCGGCCAUAAUAGUGGUAAUAUCCUCUCCCACACUAUCCAGCUCUUUGGAUCUCAAAUCACUCCAGUAGAUAAUGAUCUCCUUCCUACUGGAAAAGUUACCCCCGUAAAAGGCACACCCUUUGACUUCUUAGAGCCCCGCGAGAUUGGAAGCAAGUUCAAUGAGC